RNAcentral lists this long non-coding RNA (1140 nucleotides) under Gossypium barbadense (sea-island cotton). RNAcentral's name for it is "long non-coding RNA (GBAR_LNC006801)". Lineage: Eukaryota; Viridiplantae; Streptophyta; Magnoliopsida; Malvales; Malvaceae. The record is from RNAcentral.
GGUAUUGAGGGCUACUUCUUCGCGUAGGGAGGAAGCAUAUAGAGAAAAGGAUCAGUGUGAUAAUGAUGACGUGAGGACGAUGUUGAUAGAUAAACAAGUGAAUGUUUCGGUUUUGUUACAUUGUCAAAUUUUGGAUAGGAAGAGGGAGAAGCAGGAGUUUAUUGCUAGUCAACAGCCUAGGAUCGGUACUGUUCCAAAAGCAACUGAAGGAGAACAGGUGGCUGCAAGGUGGCCUGCGUGGUUAGCUGUGGUAGCGGGAGAAGCAAUCAGGGGAUGGAUACCACGGCGUGCAGACUCGUUUGAGAAAAUAGAUAAAGUAGUUAUAUGCUUACUCAAAUUAAUUCGUUGGAUACUUUAAUAGCCAAUUUUGGCCAGGCCUAUAAAACAAAAUUAAACCCAAAUGAAUAAUGAAAGUCUAAUUGUUCUUUAAGUCCAUUUACAACAUAUGUAUGGCCCAACAACAUAAGGCUCAUUUCAAAACCAAAUACAAAUUCAAACUAUCCAAGCCCAAUUCUAACCCUAGCCCAUUACAAAUAGAACAGCAGCAAUCCUAGCUGCCAAGUCACCAGCUGCCGCAUGCUAGGCCAACCAUUGGCCAACUCGCGCAGAGCCUUCCCCGCACGCCACCACCGGCUUCCACGCCUUUGACACCUGUAGACAGAAAUUAAUACAAGGCAUAAUAGCAAAACGACAAACAAAAUGGAGGUAAAGGGUUGUAAUUCGGCUUUAAAAGCCUGAGGAUCCUCUUUGUAAGUUUUUCACACACACCAUUAAUAAAAAAAGCAGAACAAAAGCUCGAAAAGGUUGAUUUUUUAUUCUGUUUAUACUGUUCUUUGCCUCCCCCUUUUAUUUUAUUUUAUUUUUUAUCUUUUAUUUUUUAUUUAAAAAUCAAUUUUAAACACAUAAAAAAAGGGAAGGAAACACUUACUUGGACCGCCCUGGAGUCGCGUUGUCAAAGCCUCAUCUCCGUCGACAGAGUUGAUUGCAAAAAGGGGGUAAAAGGACCUCCUUCUCUUGUUUUUGGGCUGAAAAGAUUGUGGCCCUUGAAUGGCUUAAACAGGGGCUAGAAAGCCCGGCUCGCACCUCCCAACUACUGCCCGUGGUGGCACCGUGACAACGGCGGCGAUGAUGGGUUUCAAA